Molecule: long non-coding RNA, 823 nt
Filed under: Citrus sinensis (sweet orange)
Lineage: Eukaryota; Viridiplantae; Streptophyta; Magnoliopsida; Sapindales; Rutaceae
Description: long non-coding RNA (CSIN_LNC004049)
Source: RNAcentral
AACACUCGGCACCCAGAACUUACACAAACUGCAAACUGCAAACUGCAAAACCCUAAAUAUAGAGCUUCCAAACUUCCCAAUUGGUUCAUGAAAGUUGAGUGCUAAAUUUAAACGCCAACUUGUACGUAGGCUUUGGCAUAAGGUAGCCAACAACGGUUCCUCAACGUUUAUUAUUGUUCCUCAACGUAAGAACUUGUUUGUAUUUAUGAAUUAAAUUUAUGAAUAUUGAGUUGUUUCGUUUUAAUUGUUGAGCUGAACCAUGAGCAUUUGUAUCUAAAUUUGCUAAACCGUGAGCAUUUGUAUCUAAAUUAUUGUGUUUUUUUUGUUUCAGUUUGCUGAACUGUGAUAAUUAAUUAAUAAUAAUUAAUUUACUGAACCAUGAUAAUUAAUUAAUAAUAUUCAGUUGAUAUUUUAAUUUGUUUCUAAACUUAAUGAAUUAGGGAUAAGUAAUUAAUGAUAUUCAGUAAUUAAUUAAUAAUAAUUAAUUUACUGAACCAUGAUAAUUAAUUAAUAAUAUUCAGUUUAUAUUUUAAUUUGUUUCUAAAAUUAAUGAAUUAGGGAUAAGCAAUUAAUAACAUUCAGUUUAUAAUUUUAUUUGUUUCUAAACUUAUUGAAUUUGAGAUAAUUAAUUAUAAUAUUCUAAAUUAUUAUAAUUUGCAGCAAUAAUGGAUGAGGUUGAUGAAGUGGAGGAAUUGCAAGAUUUACAGGAGGCUAAUUUUGAAGGAAAUAAUGAAAACUUUGUGGAAAAAGUUGAUGAGCCUAGGGUUGGGAUGUGUUUUGAUAGUCCAGAUAAAAUGUUUGAAUAUUACAAAGCUUAUGGCCA